RNAcentral lists this ribosomal RNA (441 nucleotides) under uncultured bacterium. RNAcentral describes it as "partial 16S ribosomal RNA". It matches the Rfam family "Bacterial small subunit ribosomal RNA", at positions 338 to 795 of the family's 1533-position model. The record is from RNAcentral.
CCUACGGGAGGCAGCAGUGGGGGAUAUUGCACAAUGGGGGAAACCCUGAUGCAGCGACGCCGCGUGGGUGAAGGAGCGUUUCGGCGCGUAAAACCCUGUCGGCAGGGAAGAAGUAGGACGGUACCUGCCGAAGGAGCCCCGGCUAAAUACGGGCCAGCAGCCGCGGCAAUCCGGAGGUGGCAAGCGUUAUCCGGAUGUACUGGGUGUAAAGGGAGCGUAGACGGAAUUGGAAGUCUGAUGUGAAACGCCGCGGCUCAACCGCGGAACUGCAUUGGAAACUGGAUUUCUAGAGUGCCGGAGAGGCAAGUGGAAUUCCUGGUGUAGCGGUGAAAUGCGUAGAUAUCAGGAGGAACACCAGUGGCGAAGGCGGCUUGCUGGACGAUGACUGACGUUGAGGCUCGAAAGCGUGGGGAGCAAACAGGAUUAGAUACCCCAGUAGUC